Molecule: ribosomal RNA, 1313 nt
Filed under: Salmonella enterica subsp. enterica serovar Typhimurium
Lineage: Bacteria; Pseudomonadati; Pseudomonadota; Gammaproteobacteria; Enterobacterales; Enterobacteriaceae
Description: partial 23S ribosomal RNA
Rfam family: Bacterial large subunit ribosomal RNA
Source: RNAcentral
GAAAUCGUACCCCAAACCGACACAGGUGGUCAGGUAGAGAAUACCAAGGCGCUUGAGAGAACUCGGGUGAAGGAACUAGGCAAAAUGGUGCCGUAACUUCGGGAGAAGGCACGCUGACACGUAGGUGAAGUGAUUUACUCAUGGAGCUGAAGUCAGUCGAAGAUACCAGCUGGCUGCAACUGUUUAUUAAAAACACAGCACUGUGCAAACACGAAAGUGGACGUAUACGGUGUGACGCCUGCCCGGUGCCGGAAGGUUAAUUGAUGGGGUCAGCGCAAGCGAAGCUCCUGAUCGAAGCCCCGGUAAACGGCGGCCGUAACUAUAACGGUCCUAAGGUAGCGAAAUUCCUUGUCGGGUAAGUUCCGACCUGCACGAAUGGCGUAAUGAUGGCCAGGCUGUCUCCACCCGAGACUCAGUGAAAUUGAACUCGCUGUGAAGAUGCAGUGUACCCGCGGCAAGACGGAAAGACCCCGUGAACCUUUACUAUAGCUUGACACUGAACAUUGAGCCUUGAUGUGUAGGAUAGGUGGGAGGCUUUGAAGUGUGGACGCCAGUCUGCAUGGAGCCGACCUUGAAAUACCACCCUUUAAUGUUUGAUGUUCUAACGUGGACCCGUUACCCGGGUUGCGGACAGUGUCUGGUGGGUAGUUUGACUGGGGCGGUCUCCUCCUAAAGAGUAACGGAGGAGCACGAAGGUUGGCUAAUCCUGGUCGGACAUCAGGAGGUUAGUGCAAUGGCAUAAGCCAGCUUGACUGCGAGCGUGACGGCGCGAGCAGGUGCGAAAGCAGGUCAUAGUGAUCCGGUGGUUCUGAAUGGAAGGGCCAUCGCUCAACGGAUAAAAGGUACUCCGGGGAUAACAGGCUGAUACCGCCCAAGAGUUCAUAUCGACGGCGGUGUUUGGCACCUCGAUGUCGGCUCAUCACAUCCUGGGGCUGAAGUAGGUCCCAAGGGUAUGGCUGUUCGCCAUUUAAAGUGGUACGCGAGCUGGGUUUAGAACGUCGUGAGACAGUUCGGUCCCUAUCUGCCGUGGGCGCUGGAGAACUGAGGGGGGCUGCUCCUAGUACGAGAGGACCGGAGUGGACGCAUCACUGGUGUUCGGGUUGUCAUGCCAAUGGCACUGCCCGGUAGCUAAAUGCGGAAGAGAUAAGUGCUGAAAGCAUCUAAGCACGAAACUUGCCCCGAGAUGAGUUCUCCCUGAGACUUAGAGUCUCCUGAAGGAACGUUGAAGACGACGACGUUGAUAGGCCGGGUGUGUAAGCGCAGCGAUGCGUUGAGCUAACCGGUACUAAUGAACCGUGAGGCUUAACCUUACA